RNAcentral lists this ribosomal RNA (235 nucleotides) under uncultured bacterium. Its description in RNAcentral is "partial 16S ribosomal RNA". It matches the Rfam family "Bacterial small subunit ribosomal RNA", at positions 118 to 353 of the family's 1533-position model. The record is from RNAcentral.
UGAGCAAUCUGCCCUUCUCAUCGGAAUAAGCGUUGGAAACGACGUCUAAUGCCGAAUACGACCUCCUUUCGCAUGAUCGGAGGUGGAAAGCUCCGGCGGAGAAGGAUGAGCUCGCGGCCUAUCAGCUAGUUGGUGUGGGUAAUGGCCCACCAAGGCGACGACGGGUAGCCGGCCUGAGAGGGUAACCGGCCACACUGGGACUGAGACACGGCCCAGACUCCUACGGGAGGNAGCG